This is a non-coding RNA of Physcomitrium patens, 4012 nucleotides long. Lineage: Eukaryota; Viridiplantae; Streptophyta; Bryopsida; Funariales; Funariaceae. The record is from RefSeq and is a predicted model, not a curated record.
AUUGUCAGCUGGAUUGUCGUUCUGCAAUUCCAUUUGUGUUGUGAAACCACAUUGAGCGCAUCCAUGGGUGCCGAUGGAUGCCGGCCUCCGCAUUCUUCAACUGGAGUUGGGAGGGAGUUCAAGUGCGAAGUCCUCUGAAGCUUGCAUGUUCAUGCUUCGUCAAACAUUGAAACCGGCACUCACAAGGUAUAUCACGUUGAUUCAGAAGAAUCAUCUACUCAACAUGGUUGGGGUGUGACGAUUAUCUGGACGCACUUGCACACACACUGGCCUUGCGCUUAAGAUUACCGCUGAAAGAAGUAUGCGGUUUGGAGGUGAACCAAGGAACAGAAGCGAUUGUUGGCAGCUCUGCUACCGUUAAGGCCCGGUUGCAUAGUCUUCGGGAAGACAGACCCGGGGUUUGAGGGUUCAGCGCAUUGGCUUGGGACUCUCGCCCUCAGCUGCAACGUUGCGCACAUGACGCCAAUUGUGCGCACAAGUAUACAAAAGGUUAAUCUGCAAGCUUCCUCGAUCCAACUUAAGUUCCAAAAGGUCAUUCUAAAUGGCAGAACCUGUCUGGCCAUUUCGCUGGGGUUAAGUAUCGUAAUCACAACAUAUGCGAUGAGCUGAGUCAAGAUGGGAGCCAAUUCUAUGAAGUGAUGCUACUUUUGAUGGUUAAGCUGGUGCACUUCAGCAUGUGAAUAUAGUCAAUUCUUUAAAUGUAUGCCUCAUCGGAAGGAUAUUCCAAUGGGUGAAACGAUGACAAUCUCUGCAAGCAUUCUUAUGUUGGUUCGCUUACAGUGGGGCAUUGACAUGUUGAUCUCUCACCAUAUCUGGCGUCGUCACAAACUUCUAAACUUCUGAUUCUGGAAUCGAAGAUAAGCGCCGCCGCAUUGGGUUCACCACAUUAACCAGCGCCAUACAUGCUAUGUCUUAAAGUCAGAGAACUAGAACUUGACCUCAAGCUUAGAAUGGGCAGGGGUUUCUACAGUUAGUAAACUACAGUAGCACUUUGUCUACUCAGAGAAACAUGUCAUUUGAUAGGUUGAAUAAAGUAGUACUGUAGAAUGUCGUUUGCACUGGCUUUUUGCACUUUUCUAGUCGUCGGAUGUGUACUAAUGCAAAGGAUCAUUCCAUUGACGGUUUGUUCCCCAGCAUUUAAAGCUACGUUACAUGAUUUUUAUAGAACCUGGGUUGCUCCAGAAAGAAUUCAGGUCUCUGUCGAACCGCUCUCAGUGAGCUUGAAGUUAGGGCUCCUAGCCGUGUACAUGCUGAGUGACUACUGAAUUAGCCCACUGACACAUUCGGCGAUGGCUUACACUAGGGUAACGAAAUGGUAGGUGGGCGUUGCGAUGGAGGCUGGGAUUUCUUUGGAGGUUGAAGAACUCGAAACCGAAAGUGUGUUGAUGUCUCAGUGAAAUUGCUAGUCGGGAGACAUAACGAGUCUGAAGUUAGCUAGGAGAAUACAGCCGCUUCUACCUGAUCCUCCUCAAGAUACGAUACUUUUUAAAUCAAAGAUAAUAUCGAGAUCGUAAGUUGGUAAUUGAAAUCAAACCUGAUACACAUGCUGAAAGUAAGGGAUUCAACUUCAUAUGACCAGUCAGUGUUUGCGUGAGGGUUUCCAUUCCAGUUAUGCAAAGGUUGAACUUUUCGCCUAGAUGGACAGAAACACUGCUAGUAUUCCCCUACCACUUAGACUGCGUACAGUCUAAGUGAGUAUGGAUUUUAGCAUCUAAACUCUGUUUAUAUUUAUUUGUGAAACAACAUUGCGGUUUCGUCAUUUGCAAUGCCUUGGGAAGAUUCACCGAAGUGUGCAUCUAUCAGGUCGAGGUAGUGUCACUUUGUCACUAGAGAGCUUGCUAUGCACAUUCAAUUACCACUGAACGUAUUUCUCCUUGAAAAUAUUGAAGAGUUGAACAGACCUUGUAAUCAGAAUUUAGACGGAAUCUAUGAGUUCAAUAAGUUACUCCUGAACGCAUGUGGUAAGGUUUACUUCCUGUUCCGACGUUUCUACCUCGAAGAACAUUAAGAAAAUGUCUAGUUACUUUCACCUGGCUGCUAGUGCAACGCGGUUGUGACUGAUACUAUUUCCAGAUAAUUGACAGGCGCGCGUUCGGUUGCAGCCUUCUUCAGACUCUACACUUCUUGAAAGAACCACAACACAGUUUGAAAAGCAUAUUGUCGCAGGCGUGAACUUCGAUGUUAGUAUCCUCCUCAGCUGUUACGACAGUUCUUUACUGUAAAGGAUACAGGUGAAAGUAUCCCUCGAGGACACCUUCGAAACGAGAUGAAGUUACUUGCAGAGACGUCAUCAUAUACCUUAAUGAAGUUAGAUUUAUGUAAAAGAUGUUCCAAGAUCAAGGCAACAGCUGUCCAACAUGUACACUAAAUGGGAAAACGCAAGGGAAUUUUGAAGAGCAGCUGGGAGGUAAUAUCUAUACCCUGGUCAGUCUGUCGGAAGAAGAUAAUUUAUCCUCUGAGAUGAGGUGCGGCCUUGAGAUGUAAUUCUCAGCAGUUUGUUCAGAGUCUGCAUAGCUGGUGCUAUCUAAUUGUCAGAUACUUGUACAAACCAACAUACCAAGUGCAGCUUUGUCUUGGCUGUUACGCGGAGAGGAAGAAGCUAAUCCUGCAUUUAAUAUUUUGUUGAUGUUCAGAACAUCAAGUGUAGAUGGUAAUGCAGCUGGUUUCCUUCCCAUUUGAUGUGUUCACCAGUUCCCUAAUUGCCGCACUGGAGAUGAAGUCUUUAGUUGAUUAGUUAAAACGUUCAAUUGUUUACUGUUUGGCUGCUAGACCUGAUGACAUGUGUUCUUGGAUUCGAUGUUUGAAAAUAAGGUUUAACAAAUGCCUGGAGUGCUAGGAAGUGAACAUUCCUCAUGAGAACAUCUGCAGUUUAAUAUAAAGACAUUUUUAGCUUGCAUAUUGCAGUGGCUGGGUGCAAUCUCAUAGCAGAUAAAUAUUAUCAUUGUAUGUCCUGUUAUACACUUGCUAUUGUAACAUUUGUUAGAACAUAUCUCUGUGAAUAUAAUUUUACCCAAUAAUUGAGUAGACGUCGGUUGUCUGUGGACUUUUUUCUUAUUUUCUUAUUUAUUUAUUUAUUUAUUAUAUUUCAAUGCAUUUACCUUCGUGUUGCGACAGAUUUGAAUAAGAGCUAUCUACCAACAUGAAUUAGUCUUCAAAACCCCUUAGAAACAUGCCUGAAAGUGGCACUGAGAGUUUUUAAGUAGGUACGUUUUUCAGUUCUGAUACACAUGAGCUAUCUCGAAGUUUUAUUAUCAUGUACGUUUAGACGAGCAGGGAAGGGACUUGAUCGUUCUGAUUUCCUAAUGCAGCGACCUGCAAGUGAAAUUUUAUUUUACCAGCUCACAAUGUAAUGAUGAUGUUGCUGUAUACACGUAGAUAGGAGAAAGUUUGCACAGGAUAGAGAUUUCCCCCGAUGGUUUGUAAAUGCGCAGUUUGCAGACAAGCCGAGUUGGGGUGACAGAAGGCUAAUGAUGGGACCUUUUUAACUGUUGACUAACUGGCAGAUUCAUACCUUAGUAAGUGCACAUUUAUAUUAGACAGUACAUGAACUCUCUUUUGUUAGAGCUGGUAAGAGCGACAAGUGCUUAUAUGACGCAAGUCCAUCAGCUGUUGUGCGGGCGAGCUGACUGAGCGCGAGCAGUGUAGUUUCGUGACUGUUCACGGUGCAAUUUGAGAUUUACACCAUGUGAAGAACGUUGACAAACCGGUGGAAGUGACACAGAGUUGUUUAUUACUAGUACAAGUUAUGAAAUAAAUUGCUAUGUUGAUUAUGGGCAUUCUGGUAAGUAUGAUUAGUGUGCGAGGAAGUGGAGGUGUGUAUUUUGUCACCUCUGAAAAGUAUAUGAGUCAAGGUGGUCAACGAUUGAGUUGGAAUAGGAUUGUAUUUUGGAGUAGCUAUCCAGACAGUUUUACACUACUAACGUAAUGACGUCUCUGUUCACAUUUGAAUAUCGUGGUCAGAGGGAUAGGUGUAUCAGUUUAUUAUGAUAAUUAAGUGGUAGAUGUUACUUCA